UACGUAGGGUGCGAGCGUUGUCCGGAAUUAUUGGGCGUAAAGGGCUCGUAGGCGGUUUGUCGCGUCGGGAGUGAAAUCCACUGGCUUAACUGGUGGCUUGCUUUCGAUACGGGCAGACUAGAGUGUGGUAGGGGAGACUGGAAUUCCUGGUGUAGCGGUGAAAUUCGUAGAUAUCGGGAGGAACACCGGUGGCGAAGGCGGCGACCUGGGUCGAGACUGACGCUGAGGCGCGAAAGCGUGGGGAGCAAACAGG
This 253-nucleotide ribosomal RNA is filed under the name uncultured bacterium. RNAcentral describes it as "partial 16S ribosomal RNA". It matches the Rfam family "Bacterial small subunit ribosomal RNA", at positions 524 to 776 of the family's 1533-position model. The record is from RNAcentral.